GAUGAACGCUGGCGGCGUGCCUAAUACAUGCAAGUAGAACGCUGAAGCUUGGUGCUUGCACCGAGCGGAUGAGUUGCGAACGGGUGAGUAACGCGUAGGUAACCUGCCUCUUAGCGGGGGAUAACUAUUGGAAACGAUAGCUAAUACCGCAUAAAAGUCGAUAUCGCAUGAAUUGAUUGAAAGGUGCAAUGCAUCACUAAGAGAUGGACCUGCGUUGUAUUAGCUAGUUGGUGAGGUAACGGCUCACCAAGGCGACGAUACAUAGCCGACCUGAGAGGGUGAUCGGCCACACUGGGACUGAGACACGGCCCAGACUCCUACGGGAGCAGCAGUAGGGAAUCUUCGGCAAUGGGGGCAACCCUGACCGAGCAACGCCGCGUGAGUGAAGAAGGUUUUCGGAUCGUAAAGCUCUGUUGUAAGAGAAGAACGAGUGUGAGAGUGGAAAGUUCACACUGUGACGGUAACUUACCAGAAAGGGCGGCUA
RNAcentral lists this ribosomal RNA (484 nucleotides) under Streptococcus parasanguinis. Its description in RNAcentral is "bacterial SSU rRNA". It matches the Rfam family "Bacterial small subunit ribosomal RNA", at positions 28 to 499 of the family's 1533-position model. Lineage: Bacteria; Bacillati; Bacillota; Bacilli; Lactobacillales; Streptococcaceae. The record is from RNAcentral.